CACAUGUCUCUGCAGCCUGAAUGAACCAACGCAGAAAAAAAGGGUAGUAAUCAACAAGUUUUGGAACAGAAAUUCAGAAAGAAGAACAAGCUAUCAUCCAACAAAGCUGUCCAGAAUAAAUAACCGAGGGAUUUUCUGACAUUUGAGGCUUCGCAAGUCAGCGCUGCAAGGCUCGCUAUAACGCAUCUGCCAAGCUCCCAUGGGCAACGGCUGAAGAAAACGCCCGUGGAAAGGCCACCACGCCGAAGCGCACAGUGGUAAAUCCGCAGUGAGCGUGCCAAGGCUCCACUAAUUCUGUAUGAAUGUUAAGCUCAGACUCGUGGCCGGAGACCGGUCAAUGGGAGGCCUGCAGAGAACCAAAUCAGCGCACACGUAACGAGCCAUGAGCUGGGCCUCCUCGAAUUACCUGGAUUAAUGAGUUGACAAAAUACAACUAUUCUUAUACUCUCCUGUAGCAGCAAACCAGCCCUGCACCACCGACCUGAACACCUUCCUGGGAUUUCUCACUGGCUUGGUUGCUCAUACACGUCAGGUUUAGAUCUGGCUGUUGAUCUUCCUGACCUCAAAAAC
Chroicocephalus ridibundus (black-headed gull) is the source of this 570-nucleotide long non-coding RNA. RefSeq lists it as uncharacterized. Lineage: Eukaryota; Metazoa; Chordata; Aves; Charadriiformes; Laridae. The record is from RefSeq and is a predicted model, not a curated record. The transcript has 3 exons.